AACAUGCAAUGCAGUUGAUUCAAUUGGUUUUGAGAAACUAUGGAUGAAUGGUAUUGUUCGGGUUUACAAUUUCAUCUUAUCCACUCUCAUAUAUGUACUCUUCUUAUUUACUUCACUUAUUUAUCCAAUUGCCAUGCAAACUUUCUAGUUUACCCUUAACCCAAUCCCUUGGUGAAAAGAGCCUAUUAUUAAUUACCGGCUUGCUAUCCCUAGCCUCCCCUAGUAACCAAUAAUGCAGUGUGAUCGAAAGCAAAUACAAUUGACCGUCCUACCCCUAUCCCUAGGCGAUAUUGGCAUAAUCAAUGAAUUUCCCA
This 314-nucleotide long non-coding RNA is filed under the name Vigna radiata. RNAcentral's name for it is "long non-coding RNA (VRAD_LNC006501)". Lineage: Eukaryota; Viridiplantae; Streptophyta; Magnoliopsida; Fabales; Fabaceae. The record is from RNAcentral.